This 2158-nucleotide long non-coding RNA is filed under the name Homo sapiens (human). RNAcentral describes it as "non-protein coding lnc-SLC35F5-16:1". Lineage: Eukaryota; Metazoa; Chordata; Mammalia; Primates; Hominidae. The record is from RNAcentral.
CUUUGCGAGGGCGGAGUUGCGUUCUCUUUAGCACACAGCCGGAGAGCAUCGCGAGGGCGGAGCUGCGUUCUCCUCUGCACAGACUUCGGGGCUAUUGCGAAGGCGGAGCAGAGUUCUUCUCAGGUGUCUGACUUCCAGCAACUGCUGGCCUGUGCCAGGGUGCAAGCUGAGCACUGGAGUGGAGUUUUCCUGUGGAGAGGAGCCAUGCCUAGAGUGGGAUGGGCCAUUGUUCAUCUUCUGGCCCCUGUUGUCUGCAUGUAACUUAAUACCACAACCAGGCAUAGGGGAAAGAUUGGAGGAAAGAUGAGUGAGAGCAUCAACUUCUCUGACAACCUAGGCCAGCUCCUGUCUCCCCCCAGGUGUGUGGUGAUGCCAGGCAUGCCCUUCCCUAGCAUCAGGUCUCCAGAGCUGCAGAAGACGACGGCCGACUUGGAUCACACUCUUGUGAGUGUCCCCAGUGUUGCAGAGGUGAGAGGAGAGUAGACAGUGAGUGGGAGUGGCGUCGCCCCUAGGGCUCUACUGGACCAGCGUCUCCUGUCUCCUGGAGAGGCUUCGAUGCCCCUCCACACCCUCUUGAUCUUCCCUGUGAUGUCAUCUGGAGCCCUGCUGCUUGCGGUGGCCUUAUAAAGCCUCCUGGUCUGGCUCCAAGGCCUGGCAGAGUCUUUCCCAGGGAAAGCUACAAGCAGCAAACAGUCCGCAUGGGUCAUCCCCUUCACUCCCAGCUCAGAGCCCAGGCCAGGGGCCCCCAAGAAAGGCUCUGGUGGAGAACCUCUGCAUGAAGGCUGUCAACCAGUCCAUAGGCAAGCCUGGCUGCCUCCAGCUGGGUGGACAGACAGGGGCUGGAGAAGGGGAGAAGAGGAAAGGGGGUUGCCUGCCCUGUCUCCUACCUGAGGCUGAGGAGGGAGAAGGGGAUGCACUGUUGGGGAGGCAGCUGUAACUCAAAGCCUUAGCCUCUGUUCCCACGAAGGCAGGGCCAUCAGGCACCAAAGGGAUUCUGCCAGCAUAGUGCUCCUGGACCAGUGAUACACCCGGCACCCUGUCCUGGACAAGCUGUUGGCCUGGAUCUGAGCCCUCGUGGAGGUCAAAGCCACCUUUGGUUCUGCCAUUGCUGCUGUGUGGAAGUUCACUCCUGCCUUUUCCUUUCCCUAGAGCCUCCACCACCCCGAGAUCACAUUUCUCACUGCCUUUUGUCUGCCCAGUUUCACUAGAAGUAGGCCUCAUCCUGACAGGCAGCUGCACCACUGCCUGGCGCUGUGCCCUUCCUUUGCUCUGCCCGCUGGAGACGGUGUUUGUCAUGGGCCUGGUCUGCAGGGAUCCUGCUACAAAGGUGAAACCCAGGAGAGUGUGGAGUCCAGAGUGUUGCCAGGACCCAGGCACAGGCAUUAGUGCCCGUUGGAGAAAACGGGAAUCCCAAAGAAAUGGUGGGUCCUGGCCAUCCGUGAGAUCUUCCCAGGGCAGCUCCCCUCUGUGGAACCCAAUCUGUCUUCCAUCCUGUGUGGCCGAGGGCCAGGCUUCUCACUAGGCCUCUGCAGGAGGCUGCCAUUUGUCCUGCCCACCUUCUUAGAAGCGAGACGGAGCAGACCCAUCUGCUACUGCCCUUUCUAUAAUAACUAAAGUUAGCUGCCCUGGACUAUUCACCCCCUAGUCUCAAUUUAAAAAGAUCCCCAUGGCCACAGGGCCCCUGCCUGGGGGCUUGUCACCUCCCCCACCUUCUUCCUGAGUCACUCCUGCAGCCUUGCUCCCUAACCUGCCCCACAGCCUUGCCUGGAUGUCUAUCUCCCUGGCUUGGUGCCAGUUCCUCCAAGUCGAUGGCACCUCCCUCCCUCUCAACCACUUGAGCAAACUCCAAGACAUCUUCUACCCCAACACCAGCAAUUGUGCCAAGGGCCAUUAGGCUCUCAGCAUGACUAUUUUUAGAGACCCCGUGUCUGUCACUGAAACCUUUUUUGUGGGAGACUAUUCCUCCCAUCUGCAACAGCUGCCCCUGCUAACUGCCCUUCUCUCCUCCCUCUCAUCCCAGAGAAACAGGUCAGCUGGGAGCUUCUGCCCCCACUGCCUAGGGACCAACAGGGGCAGGAGGCAGUCACUGACCCCGAGACGUUUGCAUCCUGCACAGCUAGAGGUCCUUUAUUAAAAGCACACUGUUGGUUUCUGCUCA